GACGAGGGAUCCUAGCGUUGUUCGGAAUCAUUGGGCGUAAAGCGGGUGUAGGUGGUCUGAUAAGUCAGAUGUGAAAGCCCAGGGCUUAACCCUGGAAGUGCAUUUGAUACUGUUAGGCUUGAGUGUGGGAGAGGAUAGCAGAAUUCCUGGUGUAGUGGUGAAAUACGUAGAUAUCAGGAGGAAUACCGGAGGCGAAGGCGGCUAUCUGGCCCAACACUGACACUGAGACCCGAAAGCGUGGGGAUCAAAC
This 250-nucleotide ribosomal RNA is filed under the name uncultured bacterium. RNAcentral describes it as "partial 16S ribosomal RNA". It matches the Rfam family "Bacterial small subunit ribosomal RNA", at positions 524 to 773 of the family's 1533-position model. The record is from RNAcentral.